This 301-nucleotide ribosomal RNA is filed under the name uncultured bacterium. RNAcentral's name for it is "partial 16S ribosomal RNA". It matches the Rfam family "Bacterial small subunit ribosomal RNA", at positions 509 to 807 of the family's 1533-position model. The record is from RNAcentral.
CAGCAGCCGCGGUAAUACGAAGGGGGCUAGCGUUGCUCGGAAUCACUGGGCGUAAAGGAUGCGUAGGCGGGUCUUUAAGUCAGGGGUGAAAUCCUGGAGCUCAACUCCAGAACUGCCUUUGAUACUGAAGAUCUUGAGUUCGGGAGGGGUGAGUGGAACUGCGAGUGUAGAGGUGAAAUUCGUAGAUAUUCGCAAGAACACCAGUGGCGAAGGCGGCUCACUGGCCCGAUACUGACGCUGAGGCACGAAAGCGUGGGGAGCAAACAGGAUUAGAUACCCGCGUAGUCCCUGUCUCUUAUAC